This 249-nucleotide unclassified non-coding RNA is filed under the name uncultured fungus. RNAcentral describes it as "sequence contains ITS2". The stretch from base 1 to 52 matches the Rfam family "5.8S ribosomal RNA", at positions 103 to 154 of the family's 154-position model. Lineage: Eukaryota; Fungi. The record is from RNAcentral.
AACGCACAUUGCGCCCCUUGGUAUUCCGAGGGGCAUGCCUGUUCGAGCGUCAUUACACCACUCAAGCUAUGCUUGGUAUUGGGUGCCGUCCUUAGUUGGGCGCGCCUUAAAGACCUCGGCGAGGCCUCACCGGCUUUAGGCGUAGUAGAAUUUAUUCGAACGUCUGUCAAAGGAGAGGAACUCUGCCGAUUGAAACCUUUAUUUUUCUAGGUUGACCUCGGAUCAGGUAGGGAUACCCGCUGAACUUAA